GAUGAACGCUGGCGGCGUGCCUAAUACAUGCAAGUCGAGCGAACGGACGAGAAUCUUGCUUCUCUGAUGUUAGCGGCGGACGGGUGAGUAACACGUGGAUCACCUCCCUAUAUGACUGGGAUAACUUCGGGACACCGGAGCUAAUCCCGGAUAAUCUUUUGCACCGCAUGGUUCAAAAGUGAAAUACGGUCUUGCUGUCACUUCUCGCUGGAUCCGCGCUGCAUUAGCUAGUUGUUAAGGUAAAGGCUUACCACGGCAACGAUGCAUAGCCGACGUGAGAGGGUGAUAGGCCACACUGGAACGGAGACACGGUCCAGACUCCUACGGGAGGCAGCAGAAGGGAAUCUUCCGCAAUGGGCGAAAGCCUGACGGAGCAACGCCGCGUGAGUGAUGAAGGUCUUCGGAUCGUAAAACCCUGUUAUGAGGGAAGAACAGAUGUGGAAGUAAAUGUGCACAGCGUGACGGUACCUAAUCAGAAAGCCACGGCUAACUACGUG
RNAcentral lists this ribosomal RNA (497 nucleotides) under uncultured bacterium. RNAcentral's name for it is "partial 16S ribosomal RNA". It matches the Rfam family "Bacterial small subunit ribosomal RNA", at positions 28 to 507 of the family's 1533-position model. The record is from RNAcentral.